This 433-nucleotide ribosomal RNA is filed under the name uncultured bacterium. RNAcentral's name for it is "partial 16S ribosomal RNA". It matches the Rfam family "Bacterial small subunit ribosomal RNA", at positions 29 to 507 of the family's 1533-position model. The record is from RNAcentral.
AACGAACGCUGGCGGCAUGCCUAACACAUGCAAGUCGAACGAGACCUUCGGGUCUAGUGGCGCACGGGUGCGUAACGCGUGGGAACCUGCCCUUAGGUUCGGAAUAACUCCCCGAAAGGGGUGCUAAUACCGGAUAAUGUCUUCGGACCAAAGAUUUAUCGCCUUUGGAUGGGCCCGCGUUGGUUUAGCCAGUUGGUAGGGUAAAAGCCUACCAAGGCGACGAUCCAUAGCUGGUCUGAGAGGAUGAUCAGCCACACUGGGACUGAGACACGGCCCAGACUCCUACGGGAGGCAGCAGUGGGGAAUAUUGGACAAUGGGCGAAAGCCUGAUCCAGCAAUGCCGCGUGAGUGAUGAAGGCCUUAGGGUUGUAAAGCUCUUUUACCCGGGAUGAUAAUGACAGUACCGGGAGAAUAAGCUCCGGCUAACUCCGUG